AUUACUCCAUUCAUUGUUCUAAUCAUGUAGGUAUAGGUUUUGACUGGCGGUUUCGAGAUUUUCCAGUCAUUGGAAUUUCUCUUGGCACCCACUCUUUGCCGGUGCGUGGGCACUAUUUGGGUAACUCUUUUGGUCCUAAAAUGAUCCUCAUGUCGUCCUGAGCACGACGGUAUACUUGGAUUUGAAUUUGGUUAUCGUUUGACUGUCGAUCGGAUUAUGCAUAUUAGGCAUUAUUCGGGUUCGAUAUGUUUGGACCUUUGGAUCGACUUCAUUUUCAAAUAUGUUGAUCUAGGCACCUCUAGGAUCGUGUAAGAAUUUAUGGAUCGUGAAUCGGAGUCUCGGAUGCUUCCAUUCAAUGAUUCAAAGAUUAGGUUAAACGGUAACUGUCUGUUCGAUCACGAGCGAUCCAACCGUUUGAUUUAGACCAAACUUGUAGGAGGUAUAAUAAACUUUGUUGAACCCAUAGGAACUUUUGGAUCGGAAAUCGGAGGUCGUGGGCCCGGUUGACCAAAUUUGGGAAGUUUAACCACUCGGUUGACCGAGCGUCUACCAAGGCUAUUCCACCAUUCGAAGCACGUAGUUGGACCUUAGGAACUUCUCGUUCGUCGUACACAUAUUUAAAUCCUAGGAAAACUAGGAUUUUAUUUAAGGUUCUUGUUCGAAGAAAUUUAUGUUAAUCUAGUCCUCAUAUUCAGAAAUAGGUACUCCA
This 709-nucleotide long non-coding RNA is filed under the name Prunus persica (peach). RNAcentral describes it as "long non-coding RNA (PPER_LNC007682)". Lineage: Eukaryota; Viridiplantae; Streptophyta; Magnoliopsida; Rosales; Rosaceae. The record is from RNAcentral.